Small nucleolar RNA from Malania oleifera, 106 nucleotides. The record is from RefSeq and is a predicted model, not a curated record. Lineage: Eukaryota; Viridiplantae; Streptophyta; Magnoliopsida; Santalales; Ximeniaceae.
ACUUGGUGAUGUGGGCAUUUACGCAAAACGUCCCCAAAACGCUCCCACGUCUCAAAAAAUUGCUCACCAUCUAUCUGUGAGAAACUGGUGAUAGCCUUCCUAAGCU